This 358-nucleotide ribosomal RNA is filed under the name uncultured bacterium. RNAcentral describes it as "partial 16S ribosomal RNA". It matches the Rfam family "Bacterial small subunit ribosomal RNA", at positions 338 to 693 of the family's 1533-position model. The record is from RNAcentral.
CCUACGGGAGGCAGCAGUGAGGAAUAUUGGUCAAUGGACGAGAGUCUGAACCAGCCAAGUAGCGUGAAGGAUGACUGCCCUAUGGGUUGUAAACCUCUUUUAUAUGGGAAUAAAAUGUUCCACGUGUGGGAUUUUGUAUGUACCAUAUGAAUAAGGAUCGGCUAACUCCGUGCCAGCAGCCGCGGUAAUACGGAGGAUCCGGAAGUUAACCGGAUUUUUUUGGUUUAAAGGGAGCGUAGGGGGAUUGUUAAGUUAGUUGUGAAAGUUUGCGGCUCAACCGUAAAAUUGCAGUUGAAACUGGCAGUCUUGAGUACAGUAGAGGUGAGCGGAAUUCGUGGGGUAGCGGUGAAAUGCUUAG